Molecule: long non-coding RNA, 1156 nt
Filed under: Phasianus colchicus (ring-necked pheasant)
Lineage: Eukaryota; Metazoa; Chordata; Aves; Galliformes; Phasianidae
Description: lncRNA (ENSPCLG00000008206.1)
Source: RNAcentral
AUGAGUAGAAUCGCAGAAAUGAAGGCCUCCUGUUACUCAUAUCCCAAACCAUGCAGAAAUACAGGUAAUCUUCUAAAAUUUUCCUACACUUACACGCGUACGGAGCAGCAGCAGCCAAGUUUGAGUACACGGCUUUCGCCAGCAGGUGGCGCUGUGCGCUGCGUGCCGGGGCCGGCAAGCGGAGCCUCGGGCGGCUCUGAGCGCCACAUGGGCACCCGCCGCCCCCUGCUUAGCGGCUGUAGCUCUUGGACACGUCCCACCUGCGGCGCGGUGCCGGCGCUGCGGUUCACUGCUCCGCUCGUUGCUGCAGUGGACGAGAUUUGGCAGGAUAGUAAAAUGAAUUCUAAGUCCCCGCAGAGAAGAAUAUACUCUGUUGACGCUUUUAUCCUGUAAGCUGACUCUGUCUUACAUAGCUCAGCUGUUUAUGUCAGAAUGACCUGAAGGAGGACGCACUCCAAGUAACCACGCUGCAAUCAGUCCUUGGAAAUGUGGAUGGCUAACUGAAAUGACUUAGUUCUCGUCUUACUAAAUGGGUUGGAUAGCUAACCUGAAACAUUGACUGACAACAUGAUUUCAUAUGUAAUGAAUUAAAGCUGCUGAAUCCUAGAAUAUAAGAAAGUAGUCUCAAGAUAAUCGUCUGCCUUGCAAAAACUGUUAGUAGACCUGCCAGGUUACCUCAUCAGGCUGGAUGUUUUAAGAAGUGUUGGCUUCUGAGACAUGUAUUGAUUUUGUUGUAUAGAAAUGGUCAUUUUUUACAUCAGUUACUUGUUAGAGACCCAGUCCACUAGUCUGUGGUACCACGAAGGUAUAGAAAAAUGGGACACCUAUGAAAAGUUCCUUUUAUCAUAAAGGUUUUCUAUUAGGUUGUAAUGUGUCAAGAGACUCUUCUAUUCUGGGAUGUACAGUCAUUGGAUGGUUAAGUUACUUUUCUUCACUAGAGCAGUGAAAAGUAAGGUGACAUAAAUAUGGCUGGGAGCAAAAUUUACGUUCUUGCUUUAAGAACUCAGAAUUUGAUCGUAGCGUAAGUAAACAUGGUUGUGGGGUGUAACACUUUUUCUCACACUAUACUGAAGGUGACUGCUGUGCAGCUGUACAAGGUAACUCUAAUUAAAACAGUUUCCCCUUGAAAUGUAAUUUUGUUCUUCCUCUUCACUAU